This 260-nucleotide ribosomal RNA is filed under the name uncultured bacterium. RNAcentral's name for it is "partial 16S ribosomal RNA". It matches the Rfam family "Bacterial small subunit ribosomal RNA", at positions 524 to 782 of the family's 1533-position model. The record is from RNAcentral.
UACGGGGGGUGCGAGCGUUGUCCGGAAUCACUGGGCGUAAAGCGCACGUAGGCGGCUUUCUAAGUCAGGGGUGAAAUCCUGGAGCUCAACUCCAGAACUGCCUUUGAUACUGAGGGUCUUGAGUAUGACAGAGGUGGUGGAACUGCGAGUGUAGAGGUGAAAUUCGUAGAUAUUCGCAAGAACACCAGUGGCGAAGGCGGCUCACUGGGUCAUUACUGACGCUGAGGCACGAAGCACGGAGGGAGCAAACAGGGAUUAAG